CCCUUAGAUGUCCGGGGCUGCACGCGCGCUACACUGAAUGAAUCAGCGUGCUAGAAAACCUUGUUUGACAUGGCUAGGUAACCCAUUGAAAAUCAUUCGUGAUUGGGAUCGGGACUUGCAAAUGUGUCCCUUGAACGAGGAAUUCCCAGUAAGUGCGGGUCAUCAGCUCGCGUUGAUUACGUCCCUGCCCUUUGUACACACCGCCCGUCGCUCCUACCGAUCGAAGAGUUAGGUGAAUUGUUUUGAUCGAUAAGAUUUGACUAUGGUCAACUCUCGUUGUGAAAUUCUGUGAAUCUGACUGUUUAGAGGAAGGAAAAGUCGUAACA
This 326-nucleotide ribosomal RNA is filed under the name uncultured eukaryote. Its description in RNAcentral is "partial 18S ribosomal RNA". It matches the Rfam family "Eukaryotic small subunit ribosomal RNA", at positions 1470 to 1796 of the family's 1831-position model. The record is from RNAcentral.